AUUGAACGCUGGCGGCAGGCCUAACACAUGCAAGUCGAGCGGAUGAAGAGAGCUUGCUCUCUGAUUUAGCGGCGGACGGGUGAGUAAUGCCUAGGAAUCUGCCUGGUAGUGGGGGAUAACGUUCCGAAAGGAACGCUAAUACCGCAUACGUCCUACGGGAGAAAGCAGGGGACCUUCGGGCCUUGCGCUAUCAGAUGAGCCUAGGUCGGAUUAGCUAGUUGGUGGGGUAAAGGCUCACCAAGGCGACGAUCCGUAACUGGUCUGAGAGGAUGAUCAGUCACACUGGAACUGAGACACGGUCCAGACUCCUACGGGAGGCAGCAGUGGGGAAUAUUGGACAAUGGGCGAAAGCCUGAUCCAGCCAUGCCGCGUGUGUGAAGAAGGUCUUCGGAUUGUAAAGCACUUUAAGUUGGGAGGAAGGGUUGUAACCUAAUACGUUGCAAUUUUGACGUUACCGACAGAAUAAGCACCGGCUAACUUCC
Molecule: ribosomal RNA, 482 nt
Filed under: Pseudomonas sp. oral taxon 032
Lineage: Bacteria; Pseudomonadati; Pseudomonadota; Gammaproteobacteria; Pseudomonadales; Pseudomonadaceae
Description: bacterial SSU rRNA
Rfam family: Bacterial small subunit ribosomal RNA
Source: RNAcentral